AGUGAACGCUGGCGGUAGGCCUAACACAUGCAAGUCGAACGGCAGCACAGUAAGAGCUUGCUCUUACGGGUGGCGAGUGGCGGACGGGUGAGGAAUACAUCGGAAUCUACUUUUUCGUGGGGGAUAACGUAGGGAAACUUACGCUAAUACCGCAUACGACCUCCGGGUGAAAGCAGGGGACCUUCGGACCUUGCGCGAUUGAAUGAGCCGAUGUCGGAUUAGCUAGUUGGCGGGGUAAAGGCCCACCAAGGCGACGAUCCGUAGCUGGUCUGAGAGGAUGAUCAGCCACACUGGAACUGAGACACGGUCCAGACUCCUACGGGAGGCAGCAGUGGGGAAUAUUGGACAAUGGGCGCAAGCCUGAUCCAGCCAUACCGCGUGGGUGAAGAAGGCCUUCGGGUUGUAAAGCCCUUUUGUUGGGAAAGAAAAGCAGCAGGUUAAUACCCCGCUGUUCUGACGGUACCCAAAGAAUAAGCACCGGCUAACUUCGUG
This 492-nucleotide ribosomal RNA is filed under the name uncultured bacterium. RNAcentral's name for it is "partial 16S ribosomal RNA". It matches the Rfam family "Bacterial small subunit ribosomal RNA", at positions 29 to 507 of the family's 1533-position model. The record is from RNAcentral.